UGUAAGCUUGAGUGGACUGGGCAAGGAACGCGGCAAUUUCAUCCGUGGUCCGUGGCAUGUUCCAGUCUAGUGCUUCGUUAAAUAUCUCUCUUCAAAGGUCGAUGGAAUUACCCACCAGAAAUUGCCGUCCUCGAUUCUUCGCUGUCCACCCACACAUUCUUAGCCUUCCUGAACUCAUCCACUGCUUCCCUCUCCCAUUGCACCCAAGUCCUAACCGAAUCAAGCCUAUCAACUUCUUCUUCCAUCUCGACAGUUUCAACGUCCACAAUAGUAAGUUCGUUUUGAGACGCAGCGACAAAAGUUCGCGCAGGACUAGUAGAUAAUUUGUUAGGACGGAGUGUAGCCAAGGAGGGCAUCUCAUGAAUGGUCGCAUCAAUGUUAACCUGAGCAGAAGAAGUCUGCCGGCGAUGCCCCCGAGCACGAGCACCAAGGGUGAAGGAAGCAGCAUUCGUGUCGAGUGACAGUCUACUGGAGGUCUCGGACGCCGAAGGAGAAGUAAGUCCCGGAGUAUCGAUGGGUACAUCGGAGAAAACAAGCUCUACAGGGCGUCGGCGUCCGGGCUUGGGAGGGCGGGUCAUGGAGGAUCCAAGCAUCUGGCGCGCACCAACUGCCUGAGCUUUCCUUUUACCAAGUGGGGCUAAUAACAUAACAUUUACACCUUUCAAGCUCGCGUAUCCUCUUAGUAACAUUCCUGGCCGUCGCGUCUGCAAAAGUAUCAUCAGCGACUGAAUCGCUCGUGUCGGUGGAGACGGCUGAUAUGGGGCGCAAGCCACGAAGGAAGAAUUUCUCAUUGGACGACUGCUGCUCAGGUCUGAAGAAGGAAUCGGCGCCGAUCGAAAUUCGAGACGAUUCAUCGGCUGAAGACAUGAAAGACUCCCGCACUGCGGAAGCAUCGUUGAAUAACGAGUCGUCAACCAACCUAGCUCGACUAGCAUCAAGCAGAGAAUCAUGAGUGACCUUGCCACAAGUCGCAUCGAAUAGACUAUCCCACGAAGCUGAACGCUGGUAUGACACAGAAGCUUUGGCGGCGUCCUCAGGGGGCGAUCCCGUGAUAGACGUGAGCUGCACCCCACCAUCAAGCUGGAACAUCCUAUCGCCAAGGCCGGGUCGGAGGAUUUGGGACACCGAGGUGCCUGAAGAGGUGCUGCUGGCAGCGGAGGUGUUGCGGCGAUGAGCAGCCCAGUCUGGGCGACCGAAAGAGCUCUGACUGGAACGGUUUCGGCGAUGCUUGCUGAUGUAUGACGACCGUCGGUUGUUGUGCAUACUGACAGGAGGGCCAUUACCUGUCAUUGAAUUGUAAUCCGAACCGCCAACAGAGUCCACAGACUGGAUGGACGAGUUGCGUCGGUGGUGACCUUUCCGAGUAACAGGUCGAUUAGAGAGCUGAGCGCCAAAAGUAAAGCUAGCUAGGGAUUCGCGAGACGGAGACUGUCUUGGAGAGCUCUCAUUGAUAGCUUUUUCAAUUGUCUCUAUGACAGAUGGCUGGCGAGAGUGCGACUGAGCAGAAGGCACCAGGUAAUCAAAGUAGUUGGUGUACUCCCGCUCUGCGCCAGUGCCAAUGACUGAACCAAUGCUAGACAUAGUAGCAACGCUGGACUCUGCUCGUUUAUGGCCGCGAGGGUCCAAGUUGACAAGUGGUGGUGGAAGAGUCGGAAGGGGAGUCAGUUCCACAGAAGCUAUAGACUCGGAAGCUCCGAAAGAAGCAUGGCUAGGCUGUUGCUUCAUGGACAUGUGUUGCUGGAAGGCGACUUGACCCUUGAAAGGUUCGCGGCGUACAGGACUGGUCUUGGCAAUGCCCAUGACAUGGUGAAUCUCCGCAACAUGCUCAAAAGCCUCUUCAUCACCAAGCUCCUCGUCUUCAUCAUCCGAAUCAUCUGAGCCAUGGACAGCAGCGAUGUGUUGUGUUGUGCUAUCAGAAGGCUUUUGAAUGUGGAAGGAUGGAACCUGGUCAACAGGAGAGAUUGCUGUAGUUUUUGUGACCGCUGCAGGCACCGAGGAAAGGUCAUCGCCGAUGAACAUCUGAACACUUCCCACCUUCCUCAAAGCCUCUACAAAAGAAGCCCUCUGGGUGCCCUGAUCCAAAGCCUGGUAUUCGCUAGUAAAGUCAAACGAGUUGCGAUGUUCGUUGAAAUCCGCGGCCAGCGUAUCGAUGAAUAUUGAAUCUUGAGUGUUGCACUUAAUGGGACAGGAGGCAAAGAGAGCGCUGGAGGCGGGGGACCAGGUCGCCUGGGAGAGAUGCGAUUUUGAGGAGGGGCAGCUGGGAGACCGAGGUGCAAGGUCUUGUUCGGAGAGUAUCCAGCUUCAGCAGCUUCAGUGUUGACGACAACAGCCUUCAGGUCAAAAGGCACAUCCGAUGCUUCGUUGACCUUAGGUGCGGGCUCAAUGUUCUGACAAAGGAUAUGGAAAGGCGUACCAUGGCAGAUUCGGCAUGCUUGGAAGACAUGGGAGAAGGAGGGGCAAAGAUGUUGCGCAUCCCUUUGCGGACCAUACUUUGUCUGGGCGGUGAGUCGAUCAUGGUCUCUGGACUCUCAGGAGUCCUCGUUUUGGCCUGCUUGUUGGCGGCAGCUUGAGACUGAUGCAAAGCAAGCUUGAGUGGACUGACAUUGGCAGAACGUGGUCUAAGAGAGUUGGCACUGGAUUUGUUAACGAGCAUAGCAGAUCGGACCUUGCGAAUAGGAGUAGGGCUGCCAUUGAAGCCUUGUCUGAGAGAAUUGCUGGAAGACACCAAAUGCAAAGUAGGGCUAUUGCUUGAUGCGGGUGAGAAGUCAAAGACGUGAACCAAAUUGAGCAAUUUGUCAGUGGCAGACGCAACACGCCGGAGACCCGCUACACUGUCAGCGACGUCUAAAACAUGUAUAAUUUACCUUUCCUGA
This 2873-nucleotide small RNA is filed under the name Cryptococcus neoformans H99. RNAcentral describes it as "Cryptococcus neoformans var. grubii H99 hypothetical RNA". Lineage: Eukaryota; Fungi; Basidiomycota; Tremellomycetes; Tremellales; Cryptococcaceae. The record is from RNAcentral.